Molecule: long non-coding RNA, 575 nt
Filed under: Numida meleagris (helmeted guineafowl)
Lineage: Eukaryota; Metazoa; Chordata; Aves; Galliformes; Numididae
Description: lncRNA (ENSNMEG00000014042.1)
Source: RNAcentral
UAUUAUUCCAGUUUUUUUCCUGGUUCCAGUGAUCACUGUUAUUAGUGUUUCAGACCACAGACAAUGUUUGCACUGUUAUAUAUUCCGUGCUAGUUACUGGCUGGAAACAAUAGACGCAAAGUGGGAGCUUAAAGAAGAGAGAUGCUGGGAAGCCAUCCUAUCUUUCCUGACUGUUCCAUAUCACACCGCUCUGAUUGGAGAGACUGUGGUCCACCUCCUACAAAUUUAUCAGAAAAGCUGUAGUGAGGAAGUCCCCAGGCACUGGCAAGGUAAUGAUGCGCUGUGAGAUGUGGAACCCCUCCAUGUUCUCCUGUGCUGCUGCAUACAGGUGUGCCAGCAGCGGAACUAGAGGGAGCAGCUACAGCAGUGCCUGACCAUCCGGGGCAAGACGAUGAAUUGUGUUAUGAAUAUUUCCUUGGGAAGUUCUUUGCAGAUUUAUUUCCUGCAUCCAGACCUAGUCCUUCAGCUCAGGUUAUUAUUGCUUGCCUGAAGCUCAAGAGUUAUGUUAAUUAUUCUGUGUUAACCAUUUGUGGAUAAACGAAGUCUUUACUUCCUUGUUCGGAUUUCUAUACCCA